AUUGAACGCUGGCGGCAUGCCUUACACAUGCAAGUCGAACGGCAGCACGGGUGCUUGCACCUGGUGGCGAGUGGCGAACGGGUGAGUAAUACAUCGGAACAUGUCCUGUAGUGGGGGAUAGCCCGGCGAAAGCCGGAUUAAUACCGCAUACGAUCUACGGAUGAAAGCGGGGGACCUUCGGGCCUCGCGCUAUGGGGUUGGCCGAUGGCUGAUUAGCUAGUUGGUGGGGUAUAGGCCUACCAAGGCGACGACCAGUAGCUGGUCUGAGAGGAGGACCAGCCACACUGGGACUGAGACACGGGGGAGAUUUUUACGGGAGGGCGGAGUGGGGAAUCUUGGAAACCGGGGGGAAGCAUGAGGCCGCAAUGUUGCGAGAGUGAUGAAGGCCUUAGGGAAGUAAUGCUCUUUUACCCGGGAGGAUAAUGACAGUACCGGGAGAAUAAGCCCCGGCUAACUCCGUG
This 461-nucleotide ribosomal RNA is filed under the name uncultured bacterium. RNAcentral describes it as "partial 16S ribosomal RNA". It matches the Rfam family "Bacterial small subunit ribosomal RNA", at positions 29 to 507 of the family's 1533-position model. The record is from RNAcentral.